GUACUGGAGCAUUGUCCUCUGCCUUGUUUGGUUCUCAAAGCCCUGCCCUAGCCAUUUCCAGCUUCAUUUUCUAUGCCAUCCCCUGCCACUGGAGUUCAGUAGAAUUUCCUUGAGAUGUAGCAAACAUCCAGUCUCAUAUGGAUUGGCCUAGAUUUAAGUUUAAUGCAUUCAUCUACCUGGUCCAGGAUAUUCUUUUGCCUCACCUGCCAUGAACAAGAUCUAACCAUAGGCUUUGUCGGGUGGGGAGGAACCUCACGUGAUGUGGCAGAGACUGGCUAAACACAGCUGUUACACUCUGCUUUGUUUCUGGGAGCACAAAUAUUUCCUAGCUCCCCUUUAGUUGGGGAUGGGCAUGUAAUUGAGAUUUCCUAGGCCACGGCUGGAAGGCAAAGACUUAAGAAGUAGGUGUGUCUCUUCCACGUGCUGGCUGGAUGCAUUGGACAGUGAGGCCCCAGGGGAUAACUGAGUCACGAGAUGGAAGGAGCCUGGGUCUUUAAAUCAACUCUGAAAGAGAGCCAUCCACCAACCAGAAGCAUCUGUCUUGGUUUAUUGUCUGAAUGAGAAACUCCUAUUAUGUCUGAGCCUUAUAUGAUUUUGAUUCUAAUUGUUAGAGCAGCUAGUGACAUACUAAUAAACCUAACCUUCUCGUUUUCUGUGUUCCAACCUGCAGGCUCAGUCUAAGCAAUUCUCUCUUUUCUGUAUUUCCCUGGAGAAGCAGCCUCAUGUAUCUGGAGCCUCCAGUCUUUCCCCCCAAUUUUGGGUGAUACUGUCAACACAACCACCUGAACCCAGUCUGCAAAAUUUGCAUAAAAAUUUGUCCAGAGAAAGUCCCCAACCUAUCUGUCCUCUCCCUGACCUGUGUGGCAGAGCAAACCAGGGAGAUCAGCCGCCUACUUCCUGGGCCUGUCUCCUUACUUACAUGUGUUCUUUCUCCAAAGCAAAUGAAGUUAUAGAUGAUACAGAGCUAAAAAAAAUUAAAAUCACCAGAGCAGUGGUUUACAGAUGCUGGUUCAUAAGCCUGAACUGAGCCGUCUGCAUCAGAAUUGCCUAGGAAGAAUUUUAUAAAAUAGAGGGAUCCAUGGGUCUUCCACUCAGAUUUUUGAAUUGAUGCUUCUGAAGUGGGUAACGAGGCACAUGUACUUCCAAAAGCAUCUUUGUCUCUAGUGCAACUGCUAUGCUAGACAGUGGCAUGUCAUGGUCAGCAGUAGGGUUGGCAAUUAUCAAUAACAAAGCAUCCUAUGAUGGGCCAUGGAUAGGGAAGAGUUCGGGAUUGAUUUGAAAUCAGACUUGACUUUGAAUCCAAGCUCUACCACUGACAAGCUGCAUGACUUUGAUAAACUUACCUGAUGUCUCUGAACCUCAGUUUGCCCUGUUAAAUGGGUUUAAUGAUGCCACAGCAAUAAAACUUAAAAUGAUUGUAAAGUCUCUGGCAUGGAGUUAAGAGCAGAGUAAAGAGUAGGUACAUAUAGUGUGUGUGUGUGCGUGAGAUACAAGUCCAUUGACAGAGAGAUGACAGAUGUUACAGCUUCCAUACCUGGGAAGACUGUACCUGGAAGAAUACAUGUUUAGGCUCCUCUCCCUCUCGUGGAUCUCAUUAUCAAAAACUUGCAGGGCUGAUUUUGCUGCCGCCGCCACUACUAAAAACAGCCACAAGAGGGAGCUUUUUUGCCCCACCUGAUAUUUUGAAUCCAAGGACCCUGGAGGUUUUCCUUCCCUCCUCCUUUAAAGAAAGUGAGUCAGGCCCAGUGGACUGCUCCCCAUGAAGCCUCCAGGUGCUGACUUGGGUGUAGAGCAGUCUCAACAUCCCAAGUACAGAGCAGUCCCCAUUCAGGCAGGUGGCCUCCUGGGCACUGCUCACCCCAGGGCUGGGCUCCCUGGCCCUCCUACUUCUUCCCACCCCCUGAGACCUCAGACACCCCUCCCUAUGGCGCAGCCACUCCUGGUGUAGGAGGCUGGCCUUGAGUUCUCUGCCCUCCGAGUAACCCUGGGCUCAUCACUUAACCUCUUGGAGCCUCUAUUUCCUGAUUUGCAGAUCAUCAGUCCCACUGGUUAUCAUGAAGCAAUAAGAGGUAAUAAACACCAAAAUGCUUGUAAUUGGUCAACACCAAGCGAGUAGCUGCAUUAAUGUUAAGGUGGAGCAGGAAGCCUCAAGUCCAUUGGCUGGCAUCAUGCAAGUUUGUACUCUGCCUUCUGUGACCCAUCACCCCUGCUUCCUGUGCCCUCAGCAGACGAGGAGGAAAUCAAAGGGUCCUGGUCCGUUCACUUACCCAAGUUCCACAAAGGGAUGUUUGUAAACACUCUCAAGGCCCCAUUUCCUUACAACUGUCCCAAAAGUCUGACGAUUCCUCACAAAUCCAGGGUGAACUGGGGGCACUGGAUUUUACCACAAGGAGGGUCUCUCUUAGUAAAAGGGGAUGCUUGGGUCAGGAACGUUACCCCAGAAGACCCUACCUAGAAUUUCCCAAAUUGGGAAUUUGAGAUUAAAGAAAAAAUAUAUUUUGGUUCUGGACCAAUGAAAAAAGACCUGAACCAGGACUCAGGAGCUUUUACUUCCUGAGCUGCUAUGGCUGGGGGAGGGGGUGGGAGUGUCAGAUGUCACUGUGCCUCAGUUUCCCCUCCUGGAAAAUAGAGAUAACGACCUGCCCUCCCUAGCACUCCACAGGGUUUUCAGGAGGAUGAUGUAAGAUCAUUACAAUAACAAAUAAUGUUUGGCACUUGCUAUGUGUCACACACUGUUUCCAGUGUUUUACCCUUAAAUCCUCAGAACAGUCCCCUGUGACAGGUAUCGUUAUCCCCAUCUUCUAGCUGAGGAAACCAAGCAUAAGGGAACAAGAGCUUUAAAAGUGCCCGGCAAUGAUUAUCACGAUUGACCAUAGAUGUCCAAGGUCUUUAUACUUCUGUCCUAUUGCUGCCCCUUUUGGACACUUGGACUUCUAAUCAGAUGAUAGGGACCAUUGGGUGAAAUGGGGUUGCCUGGACUCUCCUUGGAGUGGGGCUCUUCACAGGAGUACUUCCCAAGUGACUCAGGGACCCACUAUGGUUCAAAUGAAGCGGGUACUCGAGAACUCUGCUACAAGAAGAAACCUAUGAUUUGAACAUCAUGAUAUUGAUGAUGUUCAUGAUACUGAUUCCCUGCCUUUCCUUUAUCAUCCCAAUCCUUUUCCUUAAUUUUCUUCCAGUUCUUCUCCAACCUACUCCCAACUCCCACCCCCAAAUUUGGUGGCUCUGUGAUUGUGUCAUGUGCCAUUUUUUGUGUGUGUGACAGCCAAGCCAUGCAGUCCUCUUGCAUCCAUUGGACUGGGGACCAGGCAGCAGAACCUAGAAGCUCUUUCAAUGCUGGAACCUGGUGUGUGUUGGUGGGGGGGGGGGGUGGCGCACGUUCCUAUGGGCCAAGGUGCCAACCUGUAGAUUUCCAGACUUGAAGAUUUCAGAAGUGAACCACUUAUUGUGACUCUGGGAAUUCUCAGUAAUUAUGAGGGCAAACAAAUUUUGAUUCAUGAUAUGUCAGGCACUGUGUAAGCACUUUAUGUGCAUUCUUGUUUGUCUCUUUAAACUUUGAGAUUGCCAUUUCACAUUUAAGGCUUAAAAAGCAUAAGACUUGAGUCAUGGUCAACAAAUUAUAGCCCAAGCACCUGUUUGCAUAAUUAAAGUUUUAUUGGAAUACAACCAUUUCCAUUAAGCAUUGCUAAUGGCUGUUUUUGUGCUACAGCGACAGAGUGGAGUAGAUGUGGUUGAGACCACAUAAGGUCUGGAAGCCUAAAAUAUUUAUCCCUUUAGGACAAUUUGCCCAUCCCUGCUUUGAAACGAAACUGCCUGUGUUUCAAUUCAGUUCUAUCUUUGCCUCUUAUCAGCUAUGUGAAUGUGAACAAGGUUUUUCACUUCUAUGGCCUCAGUUUUCUCAUCUGUAAAUUGGGGAGAAUAAUAGACUCUACAUCAUAAGCUGUAGCACGCGAUAGCAGCAUCGCCUGGGAACUUGUUAGAAAUACAAAUUCUGCUUCAUCCCAGACCUACUCUGGGAGGCAGGCCAGGGAAUCCGUGUUUUAAUAAGCUCCCAGGUAAUUCUGAUACCACUGAAGUCUGAGAAUUGUUGACCUUGUAUUUAAAGUAGUUGCCCAUAGUAAGUGCUAAAAUUUCACUCGUAUUAUUCUUUCAGAAUGAUAAUUAGUCAAUCUAUAUAUUUCGUGGGUUUGUCUUGAAAAUCAGCCAUAAAGUCAUAAGCUCUUGGUAGGAAAAGUAACAUUUGACUUUCCUUUUAUUUCCACCUAGUACCAAGCAUGCAGUAUGAUACUCUCUCAGUGCUGUUUGGGUGAACAAUUUCUAAAAAUGACACUGUUUUCCUGGGAUCUAUGAAGCAAGCGUGGCUCUGAGCACGUGGAUGGGCCACCAUGAAUCCUUGAGUCCCUGAAGUUAUGUGCAAAUAUUUGCAUUUGCUGUCAUGCAUGCUUCUUUCUCCAUAGGCACUCUAGUAAUUUCAUCCCAUUCUCAAAGACUCUCCAGAUUCUAAACACCACUGCUCCAGAGCACAGGCUUUCAUAGGUUAAGGGAAAGGACUCUGAGCACCAUGAUACUGGAAUGGGGUACGAUGGGCAGACCCUCACCCGUUCUGUGGUACAGAGCAGGAGUAGGAACCAAAAGAUGUCUUCCUCUGUCUUAUUCCCCCUCCUCUGCCCUACCCCAGCCAACUCUGCCCUCCUCCUCCCUGACUCUUCCUCCAGGACUACUGCUUCUCUUCUUUCAGCUGCUAAAGAAAGUGGGGUAGACAACUCUGCAUCACAUCAUGGAGAUGGCUGUUUAAUUUGAGAUGAGUGUUACAUUACUCAUUGCUCACGGCCCCCUUUGAUCCAUCAGCAUGUGCUUCUUUUAUCCCCGUGUAGUGCAUACAUUAGUGCCCUGAAUGCUCCGUGGUCUUGUUGUCUUUUAGAUGUUGUCAGAGAUUAUUUUACUCGGGAAAGCAGAUGGAUAUCUUGUUUAAUGCCAAAAUAAUUACUGUUUGGUUGGCCUGAUAGUUUAUUUACACUUUCAAUGUUUUUAUGUUUACAUCAAAAGAGCAUUGCUCAAAUUAUAUUUUGUCUGUUAAAGUAAACAGGAUAUGACAAGCUUUUUUUUUUUUUAAACCUGAUUUUUCUGUUUGAGGAGUUGGCUUAUUAAAAUAGUUAAAAGAUAACGGACCCAAGUGGGACUGGUCACUUAAGUUGAGAUGCAAAUGCACAGCUGCAUGCUUUUUAUUUGUAUAAAAGCUGGAAAGAGGCAGUAAACAGGGCUUUAAAUGAGGGGCCAUCUCAUGCAGCAGUUAAGUACAGACUUGAGCUCCAGCUUCAAAUCCCAGCUCUGCUGCUAACUAGUUGUAUGUACUGUAGUUUUUCAAGUGAUCUGUACCUCAGUUUCCCCAUCAGCAAAAUAGACAUAGUGAUGGUUAUGAGUUAAAGGAUUUCACAUAUAGAAAUUUCUAGGCAUGUGCAAAAUGCUCUUUAAGUGUUGGCUAUUAUUUUGCUAAACAUACAUUUUGAAGUAAUUCUAUGCGUUUGAGGUGCAGAGAGGAAGCAGAUUCUCUAACUAUGUGAGAGACUUAAAGACCUAGAAUGCGUCUCCUUGAGUAGCUACCUUCCAACACCUCUGGCCACGUGGUCAUCUUGUCUCCACGUUAUGAAGCAGGAGUGUAAGUUCCAAACCCUGCCCUGACCCCAAAAAACAUUCCUGGUGCUUAGCUGAGCUUAAAAGGGAGGCUACUUGGAGAUAACGUGCCCACUGUUCUCUUUUUCAGAGAAUCAUCGUAAAAUAGUCCACCUACCUGGAAGAGUUUUCGCCAGCCACACAAUAUUAUUCAUUUUCAUGUAGCAACUUAUAAUUCAGCUCAAUAGUUUUUCAAAGAUGUACAAGGGAGGAAAGCUCUCCUGGCAGGUCAUCCCCAAGAAAACCCUUGGAAGAGCCCCAGGCCUUGGGGAUUCUCUAAUUCAACCUGAGGCAGGAGCUCUUCUGGUUAUUUUGACCUAACUCUUGUGUGUUUAUGUUACUUUUCAUGACUUUGAUCUUUUGUUCCCAUAAAUAGACACUUCUAGAUGCUAAUUCACUAACUUAGUCAAACUCUUUUGUUUCUAGUUGCCUUUAAGCAGUUUUGCUAGCUGUUCGAUAAAAUAAAUGUGUUGGUUUAACCUCAGGCCUGCUUUCUCAAGUUCAGGUUUUUUCUCAAGUUUACUAUGGCUCAUGGAGCCUGAUCUUUCCUCAAGAUGUCACUUCCUGUGGAGUUCCUGCUGUGGUGCAGUGGGUCAAGAAUCCACCUGCAGCAGCUUGAGUUGCUGCAG
RNAcentral lists this long non-coding RNA (6299 nucleotides) under Sus scrofa (pig). Its description in RNAcentral is "lncRNA (ENSSSCG00000053483.1)". Lineage: Eukaryota; Metazoa; Chordata; Mammalia; Artiodactyla; Suidae. The record is from RNAcentral.